UACGGGGGGGGCAAGCGUUGUUCGGAAUUACUGGGCGUAAAGCGCGCGUAGGCGGACCUGCAAGUCGGGGGUGAAAGCCCGAGGCUCAACCUCGGAACUGCCUUCGAUACUGCGGGUCUCGAGUCCGGGAGAGGUGAGUGGAAUUCCUAGUGUAGAGGUGAAAUUCGUAGAUAUUAGGAAGAACACCAGUGGCGAAGGCGGCUCACUGGCCCGGUACUGACGCUGAGG
This 228-nucleotide ribosomal RNA is filed under the name uncultured bacterium. RNAcentral describes it as "partial 16S ribosomal RNA". It matches the Rfam family "Bacterial small subunit ribosomal RNA", at positions 524 to 751 of the family's 1533-position model. The record is from RNAcentral.